GACGAACGCUGGCGGCGUGCUUAACACAUGCAAGUCGAACGGAAAGGCCCUGCUUUUGUGGGGUGCUCGAGUGGCGAGCGGGUGAGUAACACGUGAGUAACCUGCCCUUGACUUUGGGAUAACUUCAGGAAACUGGGGCUAAUACCGGAUAGGAGCUCCUGCUGCAUGGUGGGGGUUGGAAAGUUUCGGCGGUUGGGGAUGGACUCGCGGCUUAUCAGCUUGUUGGUGGGGUAGUGGCUUACCAAGGCGUUGACGGGUAGCCGGCCUGAGAGGGUGACCGGCCACAUUGGGACUGAGAUACGGCCCAGACUCCUACGGGAGGCAGCAGUGGGGAAUAUUGCACAAUGGGCGGAAGCCUGAUGCAGCAACGCCGCGUGCGGGAUGACGGCCUUCGGGUUGUAAACCGCUUUCGCCUGUGACGAAGCGUGAGUGACGGUAAUGGGUAAAGAAGCACCGGCUAACUACGUG
This 468-nucleotide ribosomal RNA is filed under the name uncultured bacterium. Its description in RNAcentral is "partial 16S ribosomal RNA". It matches the Rfam family "Bacterial small subunit ribosomal RNA", at positions 28 to 507 of the family's 1533-position model. The record is from RNAcentral.